UUCAGACCUGUGCUCUUCUGAACUCCCUAACACAUGCUCUGACUGACAGGCUCCCCUACCUGAAAUCCUGUAGUGGGAGCCUGUGGAAUCUCAUGAAACUGGGCCAUGCAUGCCCCCGACAAGCUGCCUGCCUGCCUUCUGCCUGCCGUGUCCCUGGCCCAUGAUGGUGCUUGCAUGUGCUGGCCAGGUGGCCGCCCUCACUGGCAGACUUCUUGCCCCUUGGCGUAGGACUCUGGGACUUUGCAGACUCUGGUGGGCCUUUCCCGUAGCAGAGAAACCUGGCAGUGGCACUUUCUGCACUGCUGAGUCAAUCCUGGGCGCGUCCUCAGCAUCUCGGAGAGCACGGGUGUCACCCCAGGGGUGAGCACGCACCUGCUUUGUGAAAGAUUUAUUGUCAGGAAGAUCUGUUUCCCCCACCCCCCGCCCCUCUGCAGAGAGCAGUGUGUAAUAACAGUCCUCAGCAAGCCAAAAGACUCGAGGAUUAUGAAAUGUGGAUGUCUCCUGUGUCGCUUUCACGGUCCUUGCUACCCAGGAGCUCCAUCACCAACCCUGUGUCUGGCUCAUCACUGGCAGGGAGGAUCAGCCGUGGAUGGUAGGAGCUCUUCUCUGUCCUGCCCUUGUCAGAAGGAUUCAAGGCCAAAGGUGAUGGAGAAGUACAGAAACCAUCUUAAAAGUUGAACUUGGCCUGUGGCACUUGGCACCAUCCCUUACUUUGUACAGUUAUUUGCUGAAAGCCAACCGUGUCUAGGGAGGGGGCGGGUGAGGGUGGAUACUCUCGAAGCACCUGUGGUUCUUUUCAUGCCCAAUUGAAUUGCCUCAGUGGCAUCUGGCGUUUGCUUGCCACUGGGGCUUUCUGGUACUUGAUUUCAGUUUUUUUAAAUGUUUAUUUAUUUAUUUUGAGAGAGAGAGAGAGAGGUAAGAGAGAGCGAGCAGGGAAAGGGCAGAGAGAG
Herpailurus yagouaroundi (jaguarundi) is the source of this 950-nucleotide long non-coding RNA. RefSeq lists it as uncharacterized. The transcript has 3 exons. The record is from RefSeq and is a predicted model, not a curated record. Lineage: Eukaryota; Metazoa; Chordata; Mammalia; Carnivora; Felidae.